Molecule: long non-coding RNA, 6988 nt
Filed under: Panax ginseng (ginseng)
Lineage: Eukaryota; Viridiplantae; Streptophyta; Magnoliopsida; Apiales; Araliaceae
Description: long non-coding RNA (PGIN_LNC003437)
Source: RNAcentral
GACCAAACAAAAUUAAUUAAUUAAUCAAAAUAAAAAAACUCAAUCUGAUCAAGCUAAUCAAUUUAACUUAACUUAAAGUAAAUACAAUAUUCAAAUGGGAGAAGGAAAGGUCAGCAUCAUCGAUCCACCAACUCCAUCACUAACAAAACUCCACUAUCCAUCAUAUUGACAAACAGAAUGCCAUAAAAACCCAAAAUAUAUCCUCCACCAGUGGACCGCCACCGAUUAGAAACUCACCAUCACCACCGAUUAGAAAACUCCAUUAUGACCCCACUUGAAGUCCUAUUACUCAUAAAUUCACAUCUCUCAUCCCUAAUUAAAAGAAAGUGAAAGAAAAGAGGGAGAACAAACCCAUCAACCCAAAUAUGUUUGUGCUCAAUCACUGUUAUCAAAAAAUAAAUCAUCUCCGAUUUGGGAAAAAAUGGAAGAGAAGAAGAAGAAACGGCAUACCCAUAUGCACAUACUUCAAGUCUCUCGCCCUUCCCGGCGGCGUCGCACAAUUCAUUGUCAGAUUCACAAUCAUCUCAGUUGUUUGUUUUCGUUAGGUGGGUUGAAAUCUCCUUUUAUUGUUCAACUUUUAGGUCUUAGGUCGAUCUUUUCGCCACCGUUUGGGUUUGCUGGGUCGAAGGCUUUUGGAGGGAUGAGUCGGAUCUGCUGGCGAUGGCGAGUGAGGCAUCGAUGAGCUGCGACGGCAGAGCCGUGGAGGAGGUAGGCGGUGGUGGAUGAGGAGAGAGAAAGAACGAAUUUACGAUCAACGUGGAAAAUUUUGAUUUUAUGAGACUUCAGUUUUUGAAUGUAUAAAUGAAAGUGAUGUUACUAUUUUACCCUUUAAUAUAUUACUCAUGUUUAAUUUCAAAAUAAAAAAUUAAUUUUUUACAAAUACAUGUAUUAGUUGUUUCAUGCCUCGCUCAAAUAAUCAGGUUAUUAAUAUCUGACGUGAUAAUCUCAAUUGGAUCAAAUUAAAAAAAAUAAUAAUUUAAUUAUUUAAUUUAAAAAAAUUUAAAGCUAAAUAAAAAAUAUCAAUUUAAGAUAGUAAAACGUAUUUAAACUAUUUUUUAAAAUACGAAAACAGACGUAUUCUAAUACGGUGAAAUUGGAAGAAUACAAGUAAAAGUUUAGGUGAAAGAGGCAAAUAUGUUACAAGCUUAGGCCUUAGGUGGUGUUUGAUAAAACUGAGUGUUAAGACCUGAACAGUUUAGACGUCUGAAUAAUAUAGAGUCUGAAUGAAAAAAUGUUGUUUGAUAAUUAAUUUUUCCAAAAUAUCUGAAUAACGCUAUUUUAUCAUUUUAACCCUCUGAACAGUUUAAACAAAACAUGUUUGAUAAUCAGAAGGUCUGAAUAGUAUUUUAAAUACAUAUUUAUAAUAUUUUGACCACAAUAUGAUAAAAUAAAAAUAAAAAACGUACAAAUUAAAUUAACUUCAAACAUAGUAUCACGUCCCAAAAAUAUUAACAUAGCAUAAUAAUUCAACCAUACAAAUUAAAUUAACUUCAAACAGUUGUUAAGAGUUGAAGUGCAAUUUGUUCACGUAGAUUAACCAUAAAUUCUACGCCUUGAUCACCCCAUUGUGGUUCAUCUUGUCCCUUAUCUUCGUUUCCUUCAUUUUGCUCCGUUUCAUCGUCAAACAUGUUAUCUCGAUCAUAUUGAGCAAACAAUUCAUCCUCAAUGUUAUGCUUUCUUAUGAAAUUAUGGACUGCGAAGCAAACGAUAACUAUAUCCCUUUGUAUUGUAAAAAGGUAAGGAGCCAUUCGUUUCAAAAUUGGAAAUCUUGCUUUCAACACACCAUAAGCACGCUCGAUAACAUUUCUGAGUUGUGCACGAGCAUGGUUGAUUUUUUUCUCUUUAUUCAAAGCACGUCUGCGUCGAAAAUCAACUAACCAAUACCUUGUAUUGCGAUAUGGAGAUAAAAAUCCUCGAGUGUUUAUAUAUGCAGCAUCACAAAGAUAAUAUUUAUCUGUAAUUGAGACAAAAAAUAACAAUUAUUAUUAAUAACAUGAAUGAUGAAAUUUUAUGGCAAAAAUAAAUAAUAAUUGAAAAUGGUAAAAGAAAUUGUAAUAUAUACCCGGGGGAGGAAAUGGAAAACCAGAAGAUGGAUCAAAUGCAACUUCUUUUAGCACUCGUGAGUCGUGUGCAAUCCCUUCCCAUCCGGCCCAAACAAAUGUGAAUAUCAUGUUAAAAUCACAUAUUCCUAAAAUAUUUUGAUAGCAUUCACUUCUUCCUCUUCCUUUAUAAUGCGUUUGUUGACUAACAGGAACAACUGCAUGUACAAGAGUAUCAUCUAAUGAACCUACUGCACCCUGCAUUAAAAUAUUAAAAGAUCUCAAAGUAUUUUAUUGUGACGCCCCCAAAAUAGGUAUACAUCACCCAUUCUGAGUUGUCAAUACAUGGUACAGAAACAACUACAACUUUAUUAUUACAAUAGUAAAACUGUGAGUUUGAAUACAAAUAUUAUCUUCUAGACAAUAUCUAUACUCAAAUAAAUCCUCAUCACAUUUAUUGAUACAUUAUUUUACAAAAAUGGUGAGGACUACUAAACAACUCUCUCUAGAACCUUCAUUCCAUACCCCGACUCGUACUCGCUAUAUUCUCGCCUCCUGAGAAGAAAAAUGGAACAAAAAGGAAAAGGGUGAGCUCAACUAGCCCAGUAAAGAAUAUUAUGACUAAGAUAAUAUACAACAAAUUAUCGUUAGUCUUCAACAGGGAAAAAUCUAAUAGAAUACAAUAGACAACAAGUUUUAAAUCAAUAUUCGCAGCGGAAAUAAUAAUUCAUUAGAAGAGUUAAGUAGAGAAUGCAAACUACUAUCUUCUAUGUAUGAAUUUAAAAGUUCAUCGUCUAUCUUUUAUCCCUGUAACAUCAAUCAAUAUAUAUCUGGAAUCAAAUAUUCAUCUUUGCACUACAGGCCAAAGAUAUUCAUCAGUUGGUCAUGUUCAUCUAAACACCUGUUCAUCUUUGCACUACGGGCCAAAGAUAUUCAUCAGAAAUCAUUCAUCUUUGCACUACAGGCCAAAGAUAUUCAAUAAUAUCAUCAUUUAAGACUGAGGAUGAUGAAAAAAAUUUUUUUUUUAAAGAAACGAAUCCAGUGAAACAAAAUGACAAGGAUUAAGGAUUAAGGAUUCGUACUUUGUUUUAUCCACGUCCAAAAAUACCUCAAAAAUAAUCAUAGUGGUGUAAAAUUCAAGAAUGAUCAAAACAUGGAUACAAUCAAAGCUAGUAUCCACAAUAGAUAUUUUGGACGAAAAGAAAAAUUUUCAUUUUUCGAUGAAUAGUGCCGUAUUCGUGAAUAGUACCGUAUACGUGAAUAGUGCCGUAUACGUGAAUAGUAACUCCGACACCAAAAGUUCCAAAUUUGAUAAAAACUUCAGAUCAAUAUUUCAGCAUAAUGAUAUUGAAGAAAUAAUAUCAUUACGAAAAAAAAUAAUAUCCCUUACCUCGGAAAGACAGUACUUCUAACUGGAAUACUGGAUAUAGGCUAUAACUUGAACUUUCACCGUAUAGCAAUACUCAAAGUAUACUCAAAAUACUCACAAGAAUACGCUCGAUAAUAUAGAGAGAGAAAACUUCAGUUUCUGGUGUGAUUUUCAAUUCUAACCUAAGCACCUAUUUAUAGGAAAUUGCUUAGAACACCAAAGCAGAAAAUUUAAUAUAAUAUUAAUAUAUAUAAAAAUAUUAUACGUAUUCCUUGAAAUCUUAAUCUCAGCAAUUCACACAUGCCAACCUUCUAGAAAAAAAUAAAAAAAACGUUUUUCUAAUUUAAAAUAUUUUAAACUUCCAAAAAUCAAUUAUUUCGGAGCUUCGGAACUUCAAUAAUUCAUAAUAAAUAGCCCUUUUAUCAGAAAAUUCGAAUCUCGCGAGUUUUUAUAGGAAAUUCAAUUCUCUACAACUUUGCAGAAGAAAGUUUUUCCAAAUUCCAAACAGAAAUUGACCGAAAUCCACAAACGGGCGAUUUUAGAGGCUAUAAUCAAAUUUCAGUCAAUAAAUGGGGUCCACCGACAUGUUUAACAUGUUUUAAACAUUUAUUGCAACAAAAAUACUCUUCCUCCUCGUAUACUCAUAUAUCCCACAUUCGUUGUAAAAAUAUCACCAUUAUUAUAUUAUUAAAAUAUAAUAAUAUAUAUAUUUAAAUGAAUUAUUUUAUCAGAAAAAGAUAAAAUUUCAAUUUUCAACAAUUGUCACAUUAAAAAUUUUCUCCAUCUAUAUCCACAUAAAAUCAAUAUUUUCCUCAUCAUAUGAAUCAAUAAUUAAUUAUUCACAAAUAAUAUUACAGAAUCACAAUAUUGACAACCAGGCAGUUCCCAGGAAAGAGGGGGCUUUCCAAUAAGAAUUUCUCCUUACUGGCGCGCAAUUAGGUGACCAAACCUCUCCUUAGACAGAACUUUCUAGACAUUGCCAAUAAUGUUAUCUAAUAAUAUUAUUCAGAUAAUAUGAAUUAUUGCUUCGAUAAUGAAAAAUACUGUGUAAUGACAAUUAUUGAAACAACAGCAAUAUAAAAUAUCAACGCAGCAAUUAUUGAAUCAAUAAAAUAAAAUACUGAACAGUAAUUACUGUAACCAUUAUUGAGUAGUGCCUUCUUACGUAAGAAUCAAUAAUUGGUGCAAUACCGUGUGCUACUGUGUUUUAACCACCGAGUAUUUUAACAGUAUUAACGGUAACAACUACGCCGUUAUUUUUAAACAACUUAUAUUUGUCGUUUUCUUCAUCCAAUCGCUUUCCGUUAUGGGGCCCACAAAAGACUGCGCUGUCGUACGAAUAUUCCCCGACAGCAAGAAUAUUCCACGACCAAACGAAUAUUCCCCGACAACAAUGAAUAUUUUAUAACCACUUGCUUAUUUUGAAAUAUUUGCGUAUUUUACCCAUAACUAUUCACAUUAAUCAAAUCAACCCUUACUAUUUCAAAAUAAUAAAUAGAGAAAAUUAAAUUUCAUUAAUAAUAAGUUGGGGUCUUACAUUUAUUGUAUGGAAUAAAUGUAACAAGAAAAGAAAAGAAUUUACAUGCCACUUACCGAAAAUAUUUGUCAUAAAUUUUUAUGGUUCCCUGGAAUAUCGGGAUUUGGAUCAAAUGAUGUCGGCACUAUAAUUUCUUUUGAAAACUCAAUCAUUCCGUUUAACACCUCAUGAAAAUAUCUAUGUAUUGUUUGGGUAGAAUGUUGAAAUCUGCGUUUUACAACUCUAAAGCGUUCAUUAUGACCUAUAAUUGUUAAGAAUAUUGCCAUCUUCUCCUCAACUGUUAUGUAUCUACUAUUGUGUACCCAUUGUUUUUCCUUGAAGUGUUCACAUAGAUGUACAUAUGCAUCACGAGAGAGACGCAUCAAUUCUCGACAUUGUGUAUUUGAUCCAUGUAAUAACUCUAAUGUAUAAGCAUGUCCGCUCAAUGCCGAAGUAUUAUCCAUAAUCCUUAGUAUUCUCUUUAAAGAUCGUGUUUUCAAAUACCAAUAUAUAAUCAUCAAACAUAAAAUUUGAUCCUCAAUAUCCAUAUUACCUAUAUAAAACAUAACAAUUUUAAAAUACUAUAACAAUAGCAUACAAAAGAUAAUGAUACUAUAGCAAAUAUCACAUCCAUAAUUUAACUUAAGAAGUUCAAAGUCAUCUACAUCAAAUAUUACAUCCAUAAUUAGUAAUAGCAAAUAUCACAUCCAUAUUAGCCCCAACAUAUACAAGAUUUUAUAUCCCAAAAAUAUCAAAUUAGCUAGCCCCAAAGAUAAGAAGUUUUUACCCAAAAAUAUCAAAUUAGCUAACCCCAAAGAUAAGAAGUUUGUACCCAAAAAUAUCAAAUUAGCUAGUCCGCUCAUAUACCCACCAACAUAAUACCAACAACUAAACAAUAUAUCCUAACUUGCGUGAAACCAUCAUAACCCAAUUUUCAACCUCAUUUUCUUUUAAAAUCAUCCAUGCUUCUCUAUAGCUUGGUUUCUCACAAAAUAUUCCAAGAGCCAUCUUGUGUAGUGGAUUUUCUACUCCCCAACCAAGUUCUUCCAACUUAUCUUUGCAUUCUUGCACGGAAGGUCCACUAUUCUUUUCAACAAUGAGCUUUAAGGCCUUGGACAUCUCUUCAUCUAGGUUAGUGUUAUAGGUUUGUUUAGAUGAAUGCUUAGCUUUUUUCUUUGGUCUUUCUCCCUCAAAGCUAGGAGCGGAAGCAUGAUAUUGCAUACCGGGAGUUGAUGCAUUGGGAGAAGGAAUAGAAGUCCCUUGACCUUGGGUGCUAAAAGGAAUGUCCUCAAGACUAAAAAGUAAAUCAAUUUAACUGAACUUUACUCUUAAUUAAUCAAAAUAAAAAAACCCAAUCUGAUCAAACUAAUCAAUUUAACUUAACUUAAAGUAAAUACAAUAUUCAAAUGGGAGAAGAAAAGGUCAGCAUCAUCGAUCCACCAACUCCAUCACUAACAAAACACCACUAUCCAUCAUAUUCACAAAUAGUAUGCCAUUAAAACCCAAAAUAUCUCCCCCACCAGUGGACCGCCACCGAUUAGAAACUCACCACCACCACCGAUUAGAAAACUCCAUUAUGACCACCACUUGAAGUCCUAUUACUCAUAAAUUCACAUCUCUCAUCCUUAAUUAAAGGAAAGUGAAAGAAAAGAGGGAGAACAAACCCAUCAACCCAAAUAUGUUUGUGCUCAAUCACUGCUAUCAGAAAAUAAAUCAUCUCCGAUUUGGGAAAAAAAUGAAAGAGAAGAAGAAGAAAUGGCAUACCCAUAUGCAUAUACUUCAAGUCUCUCGCCCUUCCCGGAGGCUUCGCACAAUUCAUUGUUAGAUUCACAAUCAUCUCAGUUGUUUGUUUUCGUUAGGUGGGUUGAAAUCUCCUUUUAUUGUUCAACUUUUAGGUCUUAGGUCGAUCUUUUCGCCACCGUUUGGGUUUGCUGGGUCGAAGGCUUUUGGAGGGAUGAGUCGGAUCUGCUGGCGAUGGCGAGUGAGGCAUCGAUGAGCUGCGACGGCAGAGCCGUGGAGGAGGUAGGCGGUGGUGGAAGAGGAGAGAGAAAGAACGAAUUUACG